UACGUAGGGGGCGAGCGUUGUCCGGAUUUAUUGGGCGUAAAGAGCUCGUAGGCGGUUGAGUAAGUCGGGUGUGAAAACUCUGGGCUUAACCCAGAGCCGCCACUCGAUACUGCUCUGACUUGAGUUCGGUAGGGGAGCAGGGAAUUCCUAGUGUAGCGGUGAAAUGCGCAGAUAUUAGGAGGAACACCGGUGGCGAAGGCGCUGCUCUGGGCCGAAACUGACGCUGAGGAGCGAAAGCGUGGGUAGCAAACAGG
RNAcentral lists this ribosomal RNA (254 nucleotides) under uncultured bacterium. RNAcentral's name for it is "partial 16S ribosomal RNA". It matches the Rfam family "Bacterial small subunit ribosomal RNA", at positions 524 to 776 of the family's 1533-position model. The record is from RNAcentral.